Non-coding RNA from Anaerolineaceae bacterium oral taxon 439, 74 nucleotides. Lineage: Bacteria; Bacillati; Chloroflexota; Anaerolineae; Anaerolineales; Anaerolineaceae. The record is from Rfam.
GAGCGGUUAGCUCAGUUGGUUAGAGCGUCGCGUUGACAUCGCGAAGGCCGUAGGUUCGAGUCCUAUACCGCUCA